This 490-nucleotide ribosomal RNA is filed under the name uncultured bacterium. RNAcentral's name for it is "partial 16S ribosomal RNA". It matches the Rfam family "Bacterial small subunit ribosomal RNA", at positions 30 to 507 of the family's 1533-position model. The record is from RNAcentral.
AUUGAACGCUGGCGGCAUGCUUUACACAUGCAAGUCGAACGGCAGCACGAAAGAGCUUGCUCUUUUGGUGGCGGGUGGCGAACGGGUGAGUAAUGCAUCGGAACGUACCGAGUAAUGGGGGAUAACUGUCCGAAAGGAUAGCUAAUACCGCAUACGCUUUGAGAAGGAAAGUGGGGGCUCUUCGGACCUCACGUUAUUCGAGCGGCCGAUGUCUGAUUAGCUAGUUGGUGGGGUAAAGGCCUACCAAGGCGACGAUCAGUAGCGGGUCUGAGAGGAUGAUCCGCCACACUGGGACUGAGACACGGCCCAGACUCCUACGGGAGGCAGCAGUGGGGAAUUUUGGACAAUGGGCGCAAGCCUGAUCCAGCCAUGCCGCGUGUCUGAAGAAGGCCUUCGGGUUGUAAAGGACUUUUGUUAGGGAAGAAAAGGAUAGUGUUAAUACCAUUAUCUGCUGACGGUACCUAAAGAAUAAGCACCGGCUAACUACGUG